GCCGGGGUGCCCGAGCGGUCUAAGGGGACAGGCUGGAGACCUGUUGUCCCGAAAGGGACACGCGGGUUCAAAUCCCGCCCCCGGCG
Molecule: transfer RNA, 86 nt
Organism: Caldisphaera lagunensis DSM 15908
Lineage: Archaea; Thermoproteati; Thermoproteota; Thermoprotei; Acidilobales; Acidilobaceae
Rfam family: tRNA
About the family: Transfer RNA (tRNA) molecules are approximately 80 nucleotides in length. Their secondary structure includes four short double-helical elements and three loops (D, anti-codon, and T loops).
Source: Rfam